UACGGGGGGGGCAAGCGUUGUUCGGAAUUACUGGGCGUAAAGGGCUCGUAGGCGGCCAACUAAGUCGGACGUGAAAUCCCUCAGCUUAACUGGGGAACUGCGUCCGAUACUGGAUGGCUUGGAUUUGGGAGAGGGAUGCGGAAUUCCAGGUGUAGCGGUGAAAUGCGUAGAUAUCAGGAGGAACACCGGUGGCGAAGGCGGGUCUCUGGGCCGAUACUGACGCUGAGGAGCGAAAGCGUGGGGAGCGAACAGG
RNAcentral lists this ribosomal RNA (253 nucleotides) under uncultured bacterium. RNAcentral's name for it is "partial 16S ribosomal RNA". It matches the Rfam family "Bacterial small subunit ribosomal RNA", at positions 524 to 776 of the family's 1533-position model. The record is from RNAcentral.